GGCAGAUUCAAAAUUACCUGACAAUCAAGCGGGCCAUGAGAAAGGGACCACAGUUACACUUGCCGCUCAGGCAGGAGCAAACAUAGUCUUUGAAUCA
Molecule: non-coding RNA, 97 nt
Filed under: marine eukaryotic metagenome
Description: Pyrrolysine insertion sequence mttB
Rfam family: Pyrrolysine insertion sequence mttB
Source: RNAcentral